UGGGGGAUCUUCCACAAUGGGCGAAAGCCUGAUGGAGCAACGCCGCGUGUGUGAUGAAGGGUUUCGGCUCGUAAAACACUGUUGUAAGAGAAGAAUGACAUUGAGAGUAACUGUUCAAUGUGUGACGGUAUCUUACCAGAAAGGAACGGCUAAAUACGUGACAG
This 164-nucleotide ribosomal RNA is filed under the name uncultured bacterium. RNAcentral's name for it is "partial 16S rRNA". It matches the Rfam family "Bacterial small subunit ribosomal RNA", at positions 355 to 511 of the family's 1533-position model. The record is from RNAcentral.